RNAcentral lists this ribosomal RNA (468 nucleotides) under uncultured bacterium. Its description in RNAcentral is "partial 16S ribosomal RNA". It matches the Rfam family "Bacterial small subunit ribosomal RNA", at positions 28 to 507 of the family's 1533-position model. The record is from RNAcentral.
GAUGAACGCUGGCGGCGUGCUUAAUACAUGCAAGUCGAACGGACAGGCCCUGCUUUUGUGGGUUUCUUGAUUGGCGAACGCGUGUGUAUCACGUGUGUAACCCGCCCCUGUCUUUGUGGUAUCUCCUGGAAAAUGGGGCGCUUACCGCAUAUAAGCUUUUGCUGCACGGGGUGCGAUGGUGAAAUUCGGCGGUUCGGGAUGGACUCGAGGCAUAUCAGCUUGAUUGUGUGGUAGUUGAUUUCCAAGGCUUCGACGGCUAGCCGGCCUGAGAGCGUGACCGGCGACAUGGGUACUGCGAUACGGACCAGACGCGUACGGGACGCAGCAGUGGGGAGUAUUGCACAGUGACCGGAAGCCUGAUGCGGCAACGCCGCGUGCGGGAUGACGUCCUUCGAGUUGAAAACAGCUGUCGCCUGUGCCGAGGCGUGAGUGACGGUAAUGAGUAAAGAAGCACCGGCUAACUACGUG